Molecule: long non-coding RNA, 4020 nt
Filed under: Macaca nemestrina (pig-tailed macaque)
Lineage: Eukaryota; Metazoa; Chordata; Mammalia; Primates; Cercopithecidae
Description: lncRNA (ENSMNEG00000045805.1)
Rfam family: Metazoan signal recognition particle RNA (bases 1474-1621)
Source: RNAcentral
AUGCACGGGAGUAGCCGCCGGUACACACCUAGGGAAGGACGGUCCCCUCCAGCAGCCGGCAGGGAGCCCGUGAAGGUCACGGCCAGCCAUGAAACAGCUGCACCGCCCAGCACGCCGCCCACGUUUGGUCUCCCCCUGGACACCGCCCACUCUUGGUCUGCAACAGAGAUUCCAUUUCUCCCUGGGAUUAGGAGGCACAGAGUGUCCAGAUCUGCUUCUGAAAUCUCUUCCUCCCUUAAGCCAGGGCCAAAGCUGCCUCCUGCAGAGGGAGAGGAGAAGCUGCGUUCCCCGCCUUUCUCGAAUUGUUUGUGGACUGUGAGUGACACAUGUCCGGCUGCACCACGGGAGCACCAGGGAACACCAUGCUGCUCUCCCUGGAGCCCCCAUUGGCGUCCUGGCAAUUUCCAGCUUGUCUCCCAAAGACGGGCUUCUUCACACUUUGGUCACACGGAGAAAUAUCAGUGCAGUCUCUGUCUCUCUCUCAUUUCCCCCUUAAUUGCCAUGAUGUUGCAACUCCCAGGCGUGUCCCCAGCUCUCCUGACGCUGUUUGCAGUGGCCGGACCCAGCUAAAGCAACUGAACCUCCAGAGCAGAGGACAGUGUCCUGCCCGCACAUCUCGAUGUGGCCCCAGGCGUUUGCCUCUAGCACCACAGGAGGGUCCCCCGGCUUUGAGGUGCAGAAAGACCAAAACCAAACGCAUUCCCAGGCAGAUGCGAGGAACAGUAAUGAAUCAGGGACCCUUCUUAGUGCCGUUAUAAGUAACAAUAGUGAGUCAGACGGGUGCAGACCCUUUGGAAGACCCAGUCUGCAAGCCCCAGAGAGCACAGAGGGUGCUGGAGGGAACCGGGGGAGGGAUGUACAGGCGAGAAACACCCGUGACCCGGUCCCAGGUCAUCACUGACUAAAGCUCCCGCUUUUAUGCACAUCCACGCUUUCUAAAAAACCACCGACAACAAAAGGGUCGUUUCCUGGCCCCCAGUGGGGUGCGAAAUGUCAGCGCUGGGCUGCUCUGGGCAGCAUCGCUACACCUGUGUCCCAUUCUUGGGGGGCAUCCCCUUCUCACAUCUGUGUCUAAAGCCAGGAAUGGGCAGUGUGACCUGAGGGAAAUCAGGGACACCCUCUGUGCCCUCAUCUACAAACAUGUCUCUCGUAUGCCAGUAAAUGAAGAAAAGGCAAGACCUAAAUCCUGAACUCCUACAGCUGUAACACGUUCCUCUGUGCCAAGGAACGGACAUUCUACAGCUGCAGAUACCCCUGGGCCGCAGGCUGAAUGGGCAAGAAGACCCCGGCACAGCUCAGGUGUCUGAGUCCUUCCAGAAAGAAAGACUGUGGUUUUUGGCCAGGCACAGUGGCUCAUGUCUGUAGUCCUAGCACUUUGGGAGGCCGAGGCAGGCAGAUCGCUUGAGCCCAGGAGUUUGAGAUCAGCCUGGGCAACAUGGUGAAACCCUGUCUCUACUAAAAACACAAAAGUUAGCUGGGCGUGGUGGCGCAUGCCUGUAGUCCCAGCUACUCGAGAGGCUGAGGUGAGGGGAUCACCUGAACCCAGGAGGUCUAAGCUGCAGUGAGCCAAGAUUGCACCACUGCACUCCAGCCUGGGUGACAGAGCAAGAACACACCUUUAAAAAAAAGGAAAGAGAAAAAGAAAAGAAAGAAAGACAGCCGUUUUCAUAAGGGGGUAAGACUCAGAGGGCAGAAGAAAGCAGAGUCUUGUGGGGGGCACCGUCUGUGGCUGGGUCUGAGGGACCAGGGCCGCCGUAGCCCCUUCCUUUCUGCACUGCUCUGACCAAGUGCAUCUAAGGGGAGGAGGGAUGAGGGGGGUGGAGGCCUCCAUGGCCGCUUAGCUAUGAUUCUGCUGGACACCACGGUCUGGAGGAGGCAGCGGGGGCAGGUGCCACCUCACUUUCUGGUACCGGAAUGACAUAUGCUUGUCACGUCCACCCCAUUUCACAGAUGGGAAACAAGGGCUCAGGUAACUCAAGGGAAGCAGCAUUGGGAGGUCAGGGCAGGCCUUCUGCCCAAUCCCCCGCCCGCUGGCUGCGUUCUUUCUACACUCGGCCAAGGUCUGUGCCCCCACAUCCCUCCCUGCCCCGCCCUGGGCUGCGCUGACCUGCCUUCUCCCCCUCCCCAUUAGCUGCAAAGAAAACUCUUCUGGGGUCUGUCAAAUGCAGAGCUGCUUCGUGUCCCUUCUUUAACAGUAAAAACUCUUUUCUUGGAAAUAAUGAAAUCAAAUUUGUAUUUCUCAACAAAACCUGCCCUCCAUCCCUCUAUGAAGUAAAAUGCAAGUUGCUCUUCUGAGCUCCAAAUACACCGAGACAAAAACAAGCCCAGGUGAAGCUGCAGCUGGAGACCUGAGUUAAUGUGAGUGCAAGCCCGGGGCAGAGCGGGUCUAGAUACAUAAUUCAUGCACGCCACUGGGGAAGACUGGACACUCGUGAAGUUCAACAGAUCAUAAGCUGGAUCCAGGGCUGUGGCAGCAACACAGCUUCGCAAGCAGGCGAGUGACCCAGAGCACAGAGGGAGGGAUGGGGACAGGUGCAGCAGAGAUCGGGCGCGGGCCAGGGAUGCAUCACGGCACCUGUGCACAGGAGUGGCCUCCAGGCGCUCCAAGUCCUCUGGGUUCCAGGGUCUCCUUCCUUCAGGGCACCCCCACCCACCCUCUCCCCAAGGCUUGGGCCAUACUCCAUGCCCCCGUGCCUGCCCUGCACCCACCUCUGGCAAGCUCGGGCAGGGGGAGAGCGAGACAAGGUGAGGGAGGAGACGGUGGUGGAUGGGGGAGCAGGGCAGGCUGGGGGUCGGGGCAAAGGGCGGUGCUGACAGCAGGACACUCUGGUCCCUGUCCCAGUGAAGUCCCAGGAAACAGUCUCUCGAGUUGCUGGGCCAGCACUCAGGAGCUGGGGCUGCCUGGUGCACGAAGCACAUAAACCAGGACACUGGAAUGUCACUGAGCUUCCCUCCAACACAGUGGGAGAGAGGACUUGGCACAGAGUGGCUGAGUGGACGUGCAGGCUGGAGUGACCAGCCCAGCCCCGUGCUUACCAAGGAGUAUUGGGGAGGGGGCCGAAUCUCCAGUCGGGCAGAAAGAGCUGCUGGUGUCAACCCUGCCGGCAAGAUGUGCCCAAGAUCCCGAGUCCAGCAAACUUCCCUGGCCCUGGCCAGAGCCCAUGUCUGACUCUGAAGGUGUGGGGGGUGUGGACGUGGGGGCACUGCCAUUUCCACUGCCAGGCUUUGGGUGUGGACACGAGGGCACUGCUAUCUCCACUGCCAAGCUUUGGGGUGUAGGCAUGAGGGCACUGCUAUUUCCACUGCCAGGCCUGCUGGAUAUGCUCCAGCCUGGGUCACAAGCCCAGGCGACCGAGCUUCCCUGAGAGGCGCCCAGCCUGACGCAGCACAGGGCCACGGGCCGGGGCACGACGAGCUCUGCUCUUUCUCAGUCUCCCUGUGACGGGAAUUGUAAUCCCAUCCUCAGAGGGUGGCUAAGGGGAUCCCCAGGAAACUACCCGGACAAUUCCUGCCACAGAGACGCUUUAAACAGGGCAACGGCCGGGAUCUCUGAGGUUUCCUUUUCCUAACCAGAAACAGAUUCUCUUUGACAAAUGGGUCUUGCUGCUUGUCCUUAUGGACCCAAUGCCGUGGGCCCGGCCUGCACUUCCUGGUGGAGUCCUGGCCCCACUCGCCUCCUCCACACACGUCCUCUUCACCAAAGGAGACUCACAGAGCCCCGGUGGCACCGGGUGCUACCCAUGCGGGGCACGGAGACUCAGGGCCGGUUUCCCUCUGGCUGAGUGAGGGUGAGGGAGGGCAGACCUGUUCCCUGUUAAACCCUGGAGCUAGCACAGACCUGCGGCCCGCCUGGGACCCAGUGAGGAUCUGUGGAGACGGGAGACAGGCAAUGGGGAGUGUCGAGGUGAGAGGUGUGUGGGGCUGUUCCUGGCAGGUCCCAGCAAGUGACACGCCCAAGGCUGGGGACCCAGGAUGGGGCCAAGGGCACCUAAGGGCUGAACAAGAGUGAGAUUAGACCCC